UAACAGGCGAUGAUUAAAACGAAGUAGUUAUUAAAGCCAAUGUUUCAGAAAGCUAGUGGUUGUUGAAAACUAGUACAUGCUUUAAAACGAAUUACAUUUUAGGAGCCUAUGGCAUGAUUGCCACGCGACAGCGUUAAAUGUUUGAGUGAUAUGUUUAGCUAAAAACAUAUAAAAUGGGUGGUACCGCGAUAAUUCGUCCCUUGG
Molecule: non-coding RNA, 204 nt
Filed under: Enterococcus ratti
Lineage: Bacteria; Bacillati; Bacillota; Bacilli; Lactobacillales; Enterococcaceae
Description: T-box sequence
Rfam family: T-box leader
About the family: Uncharged tRNA acts as the effector for transcription antitermination of genes in the T-box leader family.
Source: RNAcentral